CAGCAGCCGCGGUAAUACGUAGGUGGCGAGCGUUGUCCGGAAUCAUUGGGCGUAAAGGGAGCGCAGGCGGGCAUGUAAGUCUUUCUUAAAAGUUCGGGGCUCAACCCCGUGAUGGGAAAGAAACUACAUGUCUUGAGUACAGGAGAGGAAAGCGGAAUUCCCAGUGUAGCGGUGAAAUGCGUAGAUAUUGGGAGGAACACCAGUGGCGAAGGCGGCUUUCUGGACUGCAACUGACGCUGAGGCUCGAAAGCCAGGGGAGCGAACGGGAUUAGAUACCCCUGUAGUCCCUGUCUCUUAUACA
RNAcentral lists this ribosomal RNA (301 nucleotides) under uncultured bacterium. RNAcentral describes it as "partial 16S ribosomal RNA". It matches the Rfam family "Bacterial small subunit ribosomal RNA", at positions 509 to 809 of the family's 1533-position model. The record is from RNAcentral.